UACGUAGGUGGCAAGCGUUGUCCGGAUUUACUGGGCGUAAAGAGCGCGCAGGCGGUCGUCCAAGUCGCGUGUGAAAGCCCCCGGCUCAACUGGGGAGGGUCACGCGAUACUGGUCGACUCGAAGGCAGGAGAGGGUAGUGGGAUUCCCGGUGUAGUGGUGAAAUGCGUAGAUAUCGGGAGGAACACCAGUGGCGAAGGCGACUACCUGGCCUGUUCUUGACGCUGAGGCGCGAAAGCUAGGGGAGCAAACGGG
RNAcentral lists this ribosomal RNA (253 nucleotides) under uncultured bacterium. Its description in RNAcentral is "partial 16S ribosomal RNA". It matches the Rfam family "Bacterial small subunit ribosomal RNA", at positions 524 to 776 of the family's 1533-position model. The record is from RNAcentral.